CCCAGACUCCUACGGGAGGCAGCAGUAAGGGAUAUUGGUCAAUGGGGGAAACCCUGAACCAGCAACGCCGCGUGAGGGAAGACGGUUUUCGGAUUGUAAACCUCUGUCCUCUGUGAAGAUGAUGACGGUAGCAGAGGAGGAAGCUCCGGCUAACUACGUGCCAGCAGCCGCGGUAAUACGGAGGAUGCGAGCGUUAUCCGGAUUUAUUGGGUUUAAAGGGUGCGUAGGCGGUCCGGAAAGUCAGCGGUAAAAGGCCCGGGGCUCACCCCCGGCGAGCCGUUGAAACUGUCGGACUAGAGACGGCGAGAAGUACGCGGAAUGCGCGGUGUAGCGGUGAAAUGCAUAGAUAUCGCGCAGAACUCCGAUUGCGAAGGCAGCGUACCGGCGCCGGACUGACGCUGAGGCACGAAAGCGUGGGUAUCGAACAGGAUUAGAUACCCCGGUACC
Molecule: ribosomal RNA, 447 nt
Filed under: uncultured bacterium
Lineage: Bacteria
Description: partial 16S ribosomal RNA
Rfam family: Bacterial small subunit ribosomal RNA
Source: RNAcentral